UACGUAGGGGCAAGCGUUAUCCGGAUUUACUGGGUGUAAAGGGAGCGCAGACGGCAGUGCAAGUCUGAUGUGAAAGCCCGGGGCUCAACCCCGGAACUGCAUUGGAAACUGUGCAGCUUGGGUGUCGGAGAGGUAAGCGGAAUUCCUAGUGUAGCGGUGAAAUGCGUAGAUAUUAGGAGGAACACCGGUGGCGAAGGCGGCUUACUGGACGAUUACUGACGUUGAGGCUCGAAAGCGUGGGGAGCAAACAGGAUUAGAUACCCUGGUAGUCCCU
Molecule: ribosomal RNA, 274 nt
Filed under: uncultured prokaryote
Description: partial 16S ribosomal RNA
Rfam family: Bacterial small subunit ribosomal RNA
Source: RNAcentral